RNAcentral lists this transfer RNA (103 nucleotides) under Sulfolobus acidocaldarius DSM 639. It matches the Rfam family "tRNA". From Rfam's summary of the family: Transfer RNA (tRNA) molecules are approximately 80 nucleotides in length. Their secondary structure includes four short double-helical elements and three loops (D, anti-codon, and T loops). Lineage: Archaea; Thermoproteati; Thermoproteota; Thermoprotei; Sulfolobales; Sulfolobaceae. The record is from Rfam by way of RNAcentral.
GCGGGGGUGCCCGAGCAAGGUCAAAGGGGUCGGGCUUAGGACCCCAAACGGGUAAGAUCCCCGAUGGUGUAGGCCUGCGUGGGUUCAAAUCCCACCCCCCGCA